RNAcentral lists this long non-coding RNA (1063 nucleotides) under Coturnix japonica (Japanese quail). RNAcentral's name for it is "lncRNA (ENSCJPG00005000913.1)". Lineage: Eukaryota; Metazoa; Chordata; Aves; Galliformes; Phasianidae. The record is from RNAcentral.
CUCCCCCUUAUCACCCCCCUAGUUCUGGAGAUCCUGGAGUUGAUCCAGCGCCGUGAGCUGGUUGCGGCAGAUGAGCAGAUCAUCGCGUUGGAGGCCGAAUGUGCCGCGCUGCCUUCAUCCCCACCAUCAUCAUCAUCAUCCUUAUCACCACCCUUAUCUCCACCCUUAUCUCCAUCCCCGUCCAGCCGCCAGGCCCGCGACGUGUCCCUCCUUUACGACGCGCUCUUAUCUCAGUUAUGGGCCGUGGUGGCCGAGUCGGUUCCGUUGGGUCGCCCGUCCCCGUUGCUCCGUUCCGUGGUUCAGGUUCUAGAGCAAGAAGAAGCCGCCGACGCCCGGACCCUCAUAGGAACCCAUGGGACCCCCAUAGGAACUCACGGGACCCCCAUAGGAGCCCACGGGACCCCCAUAGGAACCCAUGGGACCCCCAUAGGAUCCCACGGGACCCCCAUAGGGACCCACGGGACCCCCAUAGGAUCCCAUGGGACCCCCAUAGGAACCCACGGGACCCCCAUAGGAGCCCACGGGACCCCCAUAGGGACCCACGGGACCCCCAUAGGAACCCACGGGACCCCCAUAGAAUCCCACGGGACCCCCAUAGGAACCCAUGGGACCCCCAUAGGAUCCCACAGGACCCCCAUAGGAACCCAUGGGACCCCCAUAGGAACCCACGGGACCCCCAUAGGAUCCCACAGGACCCCCAUAGGGAGACCGCGGGGCUUACGGCGGCGCUGGGAGGAGGCUGUGGGGAGGGCGGCCCACGAGAGGUUGGGGCAGGUGGUUGUAGGGGGGGGUUUAGGGCCCAGGUUGGCGGCGUUGGCUGGGAGGGUUAUAGGGGAUUUGGGGUCGGUUCGGAGCCACGUGGCCCCGCUGUACCCGGCCCCAUACGACGCAUUUGGGGUCUAUGCCAGGGGGUAUCACCGGGCCCUGGCGCAGCACGUGGCCGCGCUGGCACAAAGAACAACCGCGGUGCCGGAGCUUUAUCUGCUGCUGGACUGGAACUGCAACACAUACCCCAGGUACCGGGAUCCUAUAGAUCACUAUGACCCCCAUGGGACCCUAUAGA